RNAcentral lists this ribosomal RNA (553 nucleotides) under uncultured bacterium. RNAcentral describes it as "partial 16S ribosomal RNA". It matches the Rfam family "Bacterial small subunit ribosomal RNA", at positions 355 to 924 of the family's 1533-position model. The record is from RNAcentral.
UGGGGAAUAUUGCACAAUGGGCGAAAGCCUGAUGCAGCAACGCCGCGUGAGUGAUGAAGGCCUUCGGGUUGUAAAGCUCUGUCUUUUGGGACGAUAAUGACGGUACCAAAGGAGGAAGCCACGGCUAACUACGUGCCAGCAGCCGCGGUAAUACGUAGGUGGCAAGCGUUGUCCGGAUUUACUGGGCGUAAAGGAUGCGUAGGCGGAUUUUUAAGUGAGAUGUGAGAUACCCGGGCUUAACUUGGGUGCUGCAUUUCAAACUGGGAAUCUAGAGUGCGGGAGAGGAGAAUGGAAUUCCUAGUGUAGCGGUGAAAUGCGUAGAGAUUAGGAAGAACACCAGUGGCGAAGGCGAUUCUCUGGACCGUAACUGACGCUGAGGCGUGAAAGCGUGGGUAGCAAACAGGAUUAGAUACCCUGGUAGUCCACGCCGUAAACGAUGAGUACUAGGUGUAGGAGGUAUCGACCCCUUCUGUGCCGCAGUUAACACAAUAAGUACUCCGCCUGGGAAGUACGAUCGCAAGAUUAAAACUCAAAGGAAUUGACGGGGUCAUAG